RNAcentral lists this ribosomal RNA (835 nucleotides) under uncultured bacterium. RNAcentral's name for it is "bacterial SSU rRNA". It matches the Rfam family "Bacterial small subunit ribosomal RNA", at positions 35 to 884 of the family's 1533-position model. The record is from RNAcentral.
GUCGAACGGAGUUAUCAUUUCAGAAGCAAUUAGCUUGCUAAGAGUGGAAGAGAGGAUAACUUAGUGGCGGACGGGUGAGUAACGCGUGGGGAACCUGCCCUGCACCGGGGGAUAACACCUGGAAACAGGUGCUAAUACCGCAUAAGCGCACGAGGCCGCAUGGCCAGGUGUGAAAAACUAAGGUGGUGCAGGAUGGACCCGCGUCUGAUUAGCUUGUUGGUAGGGUAACGGCCUACCAAGGCGACGAUCAGUAGCCGGCCUGAGAGGGUGAACGGCCACAUUGGGACUGAGACACGGCCCAAACUCCUACGGGAGGCAGCAGUGGGGAAUAUUGGACAAUGGGGGAGACCCUGAUCCAGCGACGCCGCGUGAGUGAAGAAGUAUUUCGGUAUGUAAAGCUCUAUCAGCAGGGAAGAAAAUGACGGUACCUGACUAAGAAGCCCCGGCUAACUACGUGCCAGCAGCCGCGGUAAUACGUAGGGGGCAAGCGUUAUCCGGAUUUACUGGGUGUAAAGGGAGCGUAGACGGCAUAGCAAGUCUGAUGUGAAAGAUCGGGGCUCAACCCCGGGCCUGCAUUGGAAACUGUUAAGCUGGAGUACAGGAGAGGUAAGCGGAAUUCCUAGUGUAGCGGUGAAAUGCGUAGAUAUUAGGAGGAACACCAGUGGCGAAGGCGGCUUACUGGACUGUAACUGACGUUGAGGCUCGAAAGCGUGGGGAGCAAACAGGAUUAGAUACCCUGGUAGUCCACGCCGUAAACGAUGAUUACUAGGUGUCGGUGGGCAUGGGCCCAUCGGUGCCGCAGCCAACGCAGUAAGUAAUCCACCUGGGGAGUACG